AACUGAACUGAACUGAAUGUUGCCGGGCAGUGUUGUGUGUUCAGUUGAGUAGAGUCACUGCUGCUUUUUGCCUCUGAAGAUGGUUACUGCCCUCAUUACAGUCCUGGGAAUUCCCUUCCCCUCUGUCCUGUGUUGGGCAAAAUUUGAUGUUGUCUGAUUCUCUGUCCUUUGUCCAUGACCUGCUUUGGGUGUGUUUGUUUAGUCUUCUCUCUGGAAGUCUUUGGAUCCUCCAUUGUUCUGAAACAGUAUUAUAGUCUGUCUUUCUGUUGGUCAUUCAGUGGAUCCUUUUGGUCUAUCCUUCUGUUCUAUAAAGUUUUUGUUUUUUAGAGUUUUUAUUAUUUUCCUCCUUUUUUCCUCCUUCUCUUUCUGUAACUUCUGUUAGUUGACUCUUGAGACUUUUGGUUUGAUCUUCUAAAAGUUUUCUCUUUUACUGUCUAUCUCCAUAUUUUAUCUUUCUGUGUGAUUUUCUUGACUUUGUCAUUUCAGUUCUCAUAUUUUUAAAACUCUAGAGCUUCUGCUUCUCUGAGUACAUAUGACAGCAAUCUAUUUUUUCUUAAUGGAUUCAAUAUCUUCCUGAAUUUUUGAAGUUUUCUUCUGCUUCCUGUGUUUCUCCUCUUCUACCAAAUGCCUUUUUUCCAGUUUGUCUGGUUUUGUCUCUGUGGUUCACAUUAGGGGCUUUCCUCAAAUGUCCUGUAGUCCCUGACUGUGUCUGCUUUCAUUUAAGAGUGAGGCACUAAGGCAUAUUGGAAGGCCCAAGUGCAUAUAUAGGAUGUAUUUAUUGACUUGUGAGUAUCAUUGACUAGGUGAUUGGUCAAGGACUGAAAGAAGAGUCUCAUUGAGGUCAAUAUCUCCAGAGAGGGAACACUGUAGUCUCCUGAAAGGUUUACCCCUGGCCUCUGAUUCUGGACAUUGGUUGGGAGAAAGGGGUUGACUUGAUAGGUUACUUCCUCCUAAUUUUCCUGUAUUCAUUACAGUGCUUCUUCCUUACCUCCUGCUGUGCUUGGCAUCCUUAAGUCCCAGACUUUCAGUUUCUCUGCUUCCUGCUUCUUUGGAAUCAGAUGGAGGAGAGGGGAAUCAUUUGGAUGAAUGGGCAGGGGAGGAGAGUAAGGGUGUAAAUGUUCCUUAUAGAAAUUUUCAUCUAAUUUUCAUGUUUUUAGUUGUGCUCCCUCCAGUCUUCCAAGAUACCUAGCGUUGUAAAUUCCUGAGCCUUUCUGGGCCUUUGCCCUAAUAAUCACUUUACAUCCCUCUGGCGUGGCCCCCUAGAGACUGACUUUGACUUUCUAGUCACCACUUCUCAUCUGCUUUCUCUCCUCUAUAGUUAUUGACAUUUCUCACCUCCUGUCUCUCAUUUGUUUUAUUCUUCAUGAUUUAAAAUUCCACUGAUGUAAUUUUAGUGGGGUUUCAGGAAGGAGUAGUGGUAAACAUAUGUGUUUAAUCUGCCAUGUUUAAUUGGAAUGAGCACAGAGACCAUGAAUUUAUAGCAAAACCAACUUGAAUGUUUAGGUGGUUUUCACUAACAGAAUCCACAGUCCGGGUGGAUUUGGUAAGAAAAGGACUGGCCAGCUGGAGUGGGAUUCUGCCAGAUUUUCUCCUGAUGGCUGACUCUCAACCUCUCCUCUCCCUUGAUGGGGACCCUGUGGCUGCAGAAGCCUUGCUCCAGGAUGUGUUUAGGAUUGUGGUGGAUGAGGUCAUUCGAAAAGGGACCAAUGCCUCCGAGAAGGUCUGUGAGUGGAAGGAGCCCGAGGAGCUGAAGCAGCUGCUGGACUUGGAACUGCGGCACGAGGGCGAGUCACAGGAGCAGAUCCUGGAGCACUGCCGGGCCGUGAUCCGCUACAGCGUGAAGACCUGUCACCCUCGUUUCUUCAACCAGCUCUUCUCAGGGUUGGAUCCCCAUGCGCUGGCCGGGCGCAUUGUCACAGAGAGCCUCAACACCAGCCAGUACACGUACGAAAUCGCCCCUGUGUUUGUCCUCAUGGAGGAGGAAGUGCUGAAGAAACUCCGGGCCCUGGUGGGCUGGAGUUCUGGGGACGGGGUCUUCUGCCCUGGUGGCUCCAUCUCCAACAUGUAUGCUCUGAACCUGGCCCGCUAUCAGCGAUACCCAGACUGCAAACAGAGGGGCCUCCGGGCACUGCCACCCUUGGCCCUCUUCACAUCGAAAGAGUGUCAUUAUUCCAUCAAGAAAGGAGCUGCUUUUCUGGGACUUGGCACCGACAGUGUCCGAAUGGUCAAGGCAGAUGAGAGAGGGAAAAUGAUCCCUGAGGAUCUGGAGAGGCAGAUCAGCUUGGCCAAGGCCGAGGGUGCUGUGCCAUUCCUGGUCAGUGCCACCUCUGGUACUACCGUGCUGGGGGCCUUUGACCCCCUGGAGGCGAUCGCGGAUGUGUGCCAGCAUCAUGGGCUAUGGCUGCACGUGGAUGCUGCCUGGGGUGGGAGCGUCCUGCUGUCACAGACACAUAGACAUCUCCUGGCUGGGAUCCAGAGGGCUGACUCUGUGGCCUGGAAUCCCCACAAGCUCCUCUCCGCAGGCCUGCAGUGCUCAGCUCUUCUUCUCCGGGACACCUCGAACCUGCUCAAGCGCUGUCACGGGUCCCAGGCCAGCUACCUCUUCCAGCAGGACAAGUUCUACGACGUGGCUCUGGACACCGGAGACAAGGUACCUGGUGGAGGAGCUGAAGAAGCGGGAGGGAUUUGAGUUGGUCAUGGAGCCUGAAUUUGUCAAUGUGUGUUUCUGGUUCGUGCCCCCCAGUCUACGGGGGAAGAAGGAGAGUCCAGAUUACAGUGAAAGGCUGUCUAAGGUAGCCCCAAUCCUCAAGGAGCGCAUGGUGAGGAAGGGUUCCAUGAUGAUUGGCUACCAGCCCCAUGGUCCCCUGAGCAACUUCUUCCGCAUGGUCGUGGCCAACCCUGCGCUGACACGGGCUGAUAUGGACUUCCUGCUGAACGAGCUGGAAUGGCUGGGCCAGGACCUCUGAGUCGUUCCAUCUUGCUGCUGGCCUGGACCCCUCUCCCAACCCUCACCAUCUCCCUGUAUCUUCUCCCUAUGUUCUCAAGAAGAAACUCUCUAGGAAACAAAGCUGUCUUCAUUUUUAUGUGCUUUGACCCACUGGCUCGCCUGUAAAUUUUGGGCUGGCCAAAAAGUUGGUUCUGGUUUUUUCUCAUAACAUCUUAUGGAAAAACCCAAAUGAACUUUUUGGCCAACCGAAUAUUUGAUAUUAAGAGGCUGUUUAAAUAAAUGGUAGGAUAUCUGUAUUGUAGAAUAUUACUCUGCCAUUUAAAUUGUAUUUACAAAGAGGACUUUUGUAGAUAGGAGAAAAAUAAUUUUAAUACAAUGUUAUGUUGAGAAAGCUGGAUAAGACUGUAUAUAUGGUACUAUCUGACCUGUAUUCAAAAGACUGAUGAGAUGGAAUAUGCCAAAAUAUUAAUAGUUUACCUGGGAUGGGGUUAUAAGCAGUUUGAAAAUGAACUUCUUUAUGCUUUUUGUUCUCCCCCCCUUUUAUGAUACAAUGAAUAUCUAUUACUUUUAUAAUAGGAAAAUAAUAAAAGUUAAAUUUUCAGCCAUAUUA
Non-coding RNA from Odocoileus virginianus texanus, 3557 nucleotides. The record is from RefSeq and is a predicted model, not a curated record. NCBI's taxonomy places the organism in Eukaryota, Metazoa, Chordata, Mammalia, Artiodactyla, Cervidae.